UACGGAGGGAGCUAGCGUUGUUCGGAAUUACUGGGCGUAAAGGGCGCGUAGGCGGCACGACAAGUCGGGAGUGAAAGCCCGGGGCUCAACCCCGGAAUGUCUCUCGAAACUGUCGAGCUAGAGUGCAGAAGAGGCAACUGGAAUUCCCAGUGUAGCGGUGAAAUGCGUAGAUAUUGGGAAGAACACCUGAGGCGAAGGCGGGUUGCUGGGCUGGCACUGACGCUGAGGCGCGAAAGCCAGGGGAGCGAACGGG
RNAcentral lists this ribosomal RNA (253 nucleotides) under uncultured bacterium. RNAcentral's name for it is "partial 16S ribosomal RNA". It matches the Rfam family "Bacterial small subunit ribosomal RNA", at positions 524 to 776 of the family's 1533-position model. The record is from RNAcentral.